AACGCUAGCUACAGGCUUAACACAUGCAAGUCGAGGGGUAACGAGAGGAAAGCUUGCUUUCCUUGUCGACGACCGGCGCACGGGUGAGUAACGCGUAUCCAACCUGCCCCCAACUAGGGAAUAACCUUGCGAAAGUAAGACUAAUACCCUAUAAUUUCCUCAGAUGUCAUCUGACGAGGAAUAAAGAUUUAUCGGUUGUGGAUGGGGAUGCGUCUGAUUAGCUUGUUGGCGGGGUAACGGCCCACCAAGGCAACGAUCAGUAGGGGUUCUGAGAGGAAGGUCCCCCACAUUGGAACUGAGACACGGUCCAAACUCCUACGGGAGGCAGCAGUGAGGAAUAUUGGUCAAUGGGCGGAAGCCUGAACCAGCCAAGUAGCGUGCAGGAUGACGGCCCUAUGGGUUGUAAACUGCUUUUAUACAGGAAUAAAGUUAGCCACGUGUGGUUAUUUGUAGGUACUGUAUGAAUAAGGACCGGCUAAUUCCGUGCCAGCAGCCGCGGUAAUACAGAAGGUCCAGGCGUUAUCCGGAUUUAUUGGGUUUAAAGGGAGCGUAGGCCGUCUGUUAAGCGUGUUGUGAAAUGUAGAUGCUCAACAUCUGAAUUGCAGCGCGAACUGGCAGACUUGAGUGUGCGCAACGUAGCGGAAUUCGUGGUGUAGCGGUGAAAUGCUUAGAUAUCACGAAGAACUCCGAUUG
This 693-nucleotide ribosomal RNA is filed under the name uncultured Bacteroidales bacterium. RNAcentral's name for it is "bacterial SSU rRNA". It matches the Rfam family "Bacterial small subunit ribosomal RNA", at positions 32 to 715 of the family's 1533-position model. The record is from RNAcentral. Lineage: Bacteria; Pseudomonadati; Bacteroidota; Bacteroidia; Bacteroidales.